GAUGAACGCUGGCGGCGUGCCUAAUACAUGCAAGUCGAGCGAACGGACGAGAAGCUUGCUUCUCUGAUGUUAGCGGCGGACGGGUGAGUAACACGUGGAUAACCUACCUAUAAGACCGGGAUAACUUCGGGAAACCGGAGCUAAUACCGGAUAAUAUUUUGAACCGCAUGGUUCAAAAGUGAAAGACGGUCUUGCUGUCACUUAUAGAUGGAUCCGCGCUGCAUUAGCUAGUUGGUAAGGUAACGGCUUACCAAGGCAACGAUGCAUAGCCGACCUGAGAGGGUGAUCGGCCACACUGGAACUGAGACACGGUCCAGACUCCUACGGGAGGCAGCAGUAGGGAAUCGUCCGCAAUGGGCGAAAGCCUGACGGAGCAACGCCGCGUGAGUGAUGAAGGUCUUCGGAUCGUAAAACUCUGUUAUUAGGGAAGAACAUAUGUGUAAGUAACUGUGCACAUCUUGACGGUACCUAAUCAGAAAGCCACGGCUAACUACGUG
RNAcentral lists this ribosomal RNA (497 nucleotides) under uncultured bacterium. RNAcentral's name for it is "partial 16S ribosomal RNA". It matches the Rfam family "Bacterial small subunit ribosomal RNA", at positions 28 to 507 of the family's 1533-position model. The record is from RNAcentral.